GGAGAGGUGUCUGAGCGGUCGAAAGAGCACGCUUGGAAAGCGUGUGUGCGUUAAUCCGUACCGAGGGUUCGAAUCCCUCCCUCUCCGCCA
This 90-nucleotide transfer RNA is filed under the name Gammaproteobacteria bacterium. RNAcentral's name for it is "tRNA-Ser". It matches the Rfam family "tRNA". From Rfam's summary of the family: Transfer RNA (tRNA) molecules are approximately 80 nucleotides in length. Their secondary structure includes four short double-helical elements and three loops (D, anti-codon, and T loops). Lineage: Bacteria; Pseudomonadati; Pseudomonadota; Gammaproteobacteria. RNAcentral also lists the same sequence under 1 other name. The record is from RNAcentral.